UACUACGAUUGUAUUAUUUUCUUAAUGUUGAACAGCAAUGGGUAAGGAAAUAAAAAAGGUUACAAAAAUUAUAUACCGUUACCUUUUGUGCAGAACUUAACUUUACAUUUAAUUUCUAAAAUUGUGUAAAUAAAUGUCCUCGCCAAUUGGCUUUUUUUAAAAAAAAAUAUGUUAGCAUUACAAAACUGAAAGUGUGUAAAUUUCAUUUCUUCCCUAGAAGUGAGAAUUCUGUGAGAAAGUGUAAAACAUACUCAACGGAGCUGGAAUCGCAGAGGGAGUUAUGACCAUCCAACAGAGAAUUAAGCUAUUUGGAGGAUUGAAUUUGAAGAAGGCAGUUUUGAUGUUAAAAUAAAAUUAGCCAAGUUUACUUUUCAUUUAGAACUAUUUUUUCAAGAAGGAGCCAUGCCACUGAAAAAUGUUCUGCUACUGAGAAAAACAAAAUGCUUUACUCUUGAUAAUUACCAUGGACCAGAUUUGUGCGUGUAACAGUAGAAAGAAGUUUUUUAAACAAAUGAAAAAUCAAUUUGUUCAUUUCCACAUAGAUAAUUAGUUGAAGGCAAAAUAAAGAUUUUCUGGACAAAAUAUCAAUUUAUCGAAUUUGGCAGGCUUGUGAGCAACUCAAUUGUCACAGAUCCUCCUUGGACUGUCACAAUCAACCCGGUCUCCGGGUGCAUGAGGCUCAAUGGAGAUUUUCCUGUGGCGGCUUUGACUCAUUCAAACAUCCAGCGCCAACUGUUUUUCCCGGGAAACAAUGACUCCUCAGGGUAAUAAAAAAAAAUAAUGUCCUCUUUAUUGAUAAAAAAGGAAGCAAAACCAGCUCUUCUGAAGUAGUGAAAUUGUACGGUCAGAAAAAAAUACAAACCUCGUCCUCAUCGUAUUUUCCCCUCAUCGCGGCCCCUUUCUCCCAUUGUUUAUUUAUAUUUUUAUACACAAAAAAGGGGAGAAUAUGGACAUAUGAUCAUCAAUUUUAAUUAAACUAUUUUUUUGUAGUACUAGAUCACACUAUUAGAUACGUGUCUGUGUUCUUGUCAAUGAGCCUUAGAGCUGAUAAAAAUAUGUAUUUUAUGUAAUUUACUUUUUUUAUGAAGUUUUCUGCCUUUGUUGGGUAUGAAUUUCAAAG
Long non-coding RNA from Cimex lectularius (bed bug), 1120 nucleotides. RefSeq lists it as uncharacterized. The record is from RefSeq and is a predicted model, not a curated record. The transcript is spliced from 3 exons. Lineage: Eukaryota; Metazoa; Arthropoda; Insecta; Hemiptera; Cimicidae.